This 125-nucleotide microRNA precursor is filed under the name Cajanus cajan (pigeon pea). Its description in RNAcentral is "miRNA gene-KK1_041106". The record is from RNAcentral. Lineage: Eukaryota; Viridiplantae; Streptophyta; Magnoliopsida; Fabales; Fabaceae.
AAGCAUCUAACAAGAGAUUGUAGGUUACAAUAUCAGGAACCAAAUUCCUGAAACACAUAUGAUUAAAAAGAUUCAUGGCUUCAUCCAAUCUUCUAUUCUUACAACAACCACUAAUCAAGAUGUUG